Beta vulgaris subsp. vulgaris (sugar beet) is the source of this 9290-nucleotide long non-coding RNA. RefSeq lists it as uncharacterized. Lineage: Eukaryota; Viridiplantae; Streptophyta; Magnoliopsida; Caryophyllales; Amaranthaceae. The record is from RefSeq and is a predicted model, not a curated record. The transcript is spliced from 5 exons.
CUUAAACUGUUCAUGGUUUGUUCAUUGUGGAUUUCCAUGAGCCCUUGUUUGUUUCCCUUUAUGAGUAUGAGGUAGGUAUGGAUAAUUUUGUAUAUGUUGUGAUGUGGAGGUUUGUUCUUUGAAGCAUUUAGGUAGAGUUAGUAAUGACAGCUUGUUCAGUCUGUGGAAGCCAUGGAUGGACAGAUGGUUGCACCUUCUGGUGAUGUUUGCUUUACAUAUCUGUGGCCAGUGGUGCAUCAUAUUCUGGGUUUACUGGGGUAAUUUCGCAGGCUAUACUUUUGGGGACUUAGGAGUAUGCUGGCAUAUUGCAGGCAGAGGCAGCCUUAUAGGUACAUUAGAAGCAGUACUGUCUUAAGCCGGAGCUAUAGCCUAUAGGCAUAUAACACAUGCAAUGUCAGCCUCUAAACUCUUUACAGGUUUGAUAGUAGGAUUGUCUGAUAAAAAAGAAGGAAGCAGAACAAAAAAAAGAGAACAUUUUUACUGGUAUUGCUAUCUAAUCCUUGGUUCUUUUUCUUGAACUAAUGAAAUUGUCAUGUAUGUCAAUUAUGGAAAUGCAACUUUUUUGUGUUUUAGACAUGUAAAUUCCUAUUUAUUUUGGGUCAUUUCUCGAAAUUUCUAUACUUUUGGAAUGGGAUCUUAAAGUACGUUCUAGGAAACAUAAGGCAUUUGCUAGUGGCAAAUUACAAUAAUGAAGGUUCAAGAAAAUCUGAAAUCAACAUUGAGGGGUGAGUUAAAGACUCCGGUGAUACAAUUCUAUGAUAACAAUUUGUUUUGUACUCCAUAGUUCCGAAGAACUAGAGCAGGAUCUCUGUGAAGCCUUAAGAAAUAAAUUUACAUAAUGAACGGCCUCAAGUAGGAAUGCCUGUAUUUUCUUCUAAUGGAUCCAUGAAAAGCUGAUGAAUCUCAUACGAAGCUCCAGUGCAAAAUCAUAGCUGGGACACUUGAAGUCCUUAAACUAGAGAAAAUUAAUGUCACUCAUGAGUCAUGAGUCAUUCAAGGUGAAGUUCCGGAAGAUGUUUUUUGGAGUGCUUAAAAGGGCAAGUAUAUGGUUUGUAAACACAAGGCAACCUUUGGUAUCCCAAUUAAAGUAAGAGAAGUAAAAGAAAAUGAUGGUUGAACAGAGCUUCUUGAGCUACAAACCCCUGCAGAUGGCUUUCAUGCUUUACUGGAGAUCCAUGGCAUAUUAUGUUCUUUGAGGGCUUGAUUUGCCAGGUAGAAUAGAUUUAGUUUCAAGUCCCGCGGAGGAACCAUCAGUAUGGUUGAGUAAUCGAUGGAAGUUGGAAUCUAGACAAUCUAAAUCCCCAAGUGAAAGGUUGUGUACUUGUGUAUGGAAGAAGAACCUGAUCAGGGGCUAAGCUACGGUUUGCUCUGAAAUUGCUUCUAGUGGCAGGAAAGGCAGAGUGGCAAUCUCCUAGCAAUUAUUCCAAGUAGAGUCUAAAGGUAUUGUUUUACUUUCUCCAUUUUUUAAUUGCAUCACUUUCCUAUUUUGGAAGUUUGAAUUAUUUUCAACAUAUUUUUUUGUAGCUUUUACAUCUUCUUUGGCUUGUAUUUUUAUUUUCUCUCUUCAUCACAUAUCUUUCUAUUUUUAUCUUUAUCACAUAUCUCUAUAUUUUUAUCUUCAUCACAUGGCUCUUCUAAAACCUCAUGCCUCCUAUAAAUGUUGCAAAUAUUAAUAACAAAGUACAAAAUCACGAUCCUGUAAAGAAAAAAAGAGUAUAAAAUCACGAUUGAUCCAAGUGGAUACUCAAAAUCAAAGCAACAGUUCUUGGACCUCCACUUACCUAAUGUGGACACCUGAAGUUCGAGAUCAUUGAUUUUGAAAAAGGAUACAACUAACGCACCAGAUUUAUGGCCUUAUAUGAGUGACUCCCUAAUCGUAAUUAUUUUUGGUUGUGGUAAUGUACUUUGUCAUACAUGGUUAUGUAAAAUGGAAUACACGGAUUUUGAUAGUGCCAUAGCAAUGUGAUGAUGUAUGCCCAUGUUUAAAGAGGGAAUCAGGGAUACAAAGUAUACCACCUAUCUUGGACGGGUAUAACCAGGAUAAGCAUAUGGUUGCUAAUUUUUUUAGAGCGUUUUUAUGUCUUAUAUAUAGAUGCCAUGUAUGUUCUGCUGCCAUGAAUUUUGUCACUUUGUUAUUCAGAAGUUUAAAUUUGAGUAAUUGGGAACUGCAAUGAAAUUGAGUGUUAUCAGUUACCAGUAAUGUCAAGGAUUUAGGAUGAGUUUAAUUAUUUUAAAGUCACUGGAAAAUUUUCAAGUUUAGAAUGAUAUCUCAUAUACUCUUCAAAUUUAGGAUGAGUUUAAUUAUAUAAUAAGAACCAAGUCUACAAAUUAAAACCUUUGCUGACCAUUUGUGGUCUUACACAUAAUGAUACGUAGCUUUUUAUUUAUUCAAGAGUUAAUCUUAGGUUUUCCUUAUCAUUUGGGGUCUCGUUAUUAGGUGGUCUACUAGGUUCUUUUCAGUGAGGAUCUUUGGACUCUUGACGGGCCCUAGCAUGAAUUUAGCCUUUACAGGUUAUAGUGGGUUUCACCUUGGUAAAAAAUCCAGCAAGUUUCUUAACAGCUGUAGAGACUUACCUCGAGUUACCUCCGGGCUUCGGUACUUUCUAAUAUCCUUGGAGAAGGGUCUUACAAACAUACUUAUGGCCUUCUGUAAACAUAAUCUAUGUUGCAGUUCGUGAAUGCUUUGAUCUUUCACUCCUAUUGGAUAACUGGAGGUUUUCACUUUAGACUUUUUGAUAUUUUCUCGCCACCCCUAGAGAUUCUUGCAACAUAGCCUCUUGGAUUUUGCUGGUCAAUAUUAUCAUUGAGAUAACCAAGUGGUGAGUCUCUUCUAAAACUCAUGCCCAUUAAUCCCAUUAAAACUCUUGUUUCAUGUUUCUUCAUGAUCAAUAUCAAUCCUUGGAGAUUCUGAGAUGUUGCUUAGAAUAUGUGAAGUAUCCUUUCUAAAUUACCUUUGAAAAUUUGCAUGGUCGUCAUAAAGGGUUUCAUAGACACUUACUCUGGCGUUUGCCAAAGGCAAUUGACUUAGUAUUCCGUAUCAUCUAUGGCCCUUACUUCCACUGGUCGGCUCCCUCCUAUUUCCUUUCAUAUUAAGUGGCCUUGAGAUGUUUUUUUAUAAGUUGGUGACCGAUAUAAAUUACAGACAACAUGCGAAUUUAGAGGUAGUCAGGACAUCCAUUUGUUUUCUAUAUAGUUGUGCUACUGGUUGUUCAUAGACAUCCGUCAUAGUUAUUUUUGGUAUACUCAGUUUUGUAGGAUGAUGAUUCCUGAGGUCUAACUGUUUCUGCAUAGGAAGACUUGGAAAAAGAUGUGGUCAAUGGGUGUCCAGUGUCCUGUACAGACCUUCGACACUUAGGGCACUUGGGCUAUAUGUUGGCUAUUGCUAACAAUAACUGGGAUUGUUGAUGAGGGGUGGGGAUAAUGUUUAGGUAGAUUCCAUGUCACUUGGAAUUGGUUUUAAUUUCCUUUAUUUCUUUGAACUGGUUAAAAAUUUUCUCAACUUCUGUUGGUCCUUAUCUGAAAUGAUUUUAACUUGAACUAUGGUUGGAAGUUGAGCUUGGUAGCUCUUAUUACUUAUCGUUCUUUAUCUAUACUUAUUGGGCCUUAUCCAUAAUUUUAUUCUAAAUAUGAUGGCGUGAGUAUGUAUCUAGGUGUCAGAGUUACCAAUUCUCAAAAUUUUGGGACACAAGGACGUUAUCCUAAUUGUGGAUAUACUUGAGGGGCGUGAGAUUCAUGAUGUUCAAUUAUAUCUAAAUAUCAUAUAUUGAUUUGAUAAUACAGAAUUAAUUCAAUUUCCUCGAGCCUAUUUGCCUGCAGCGUAAAGUUACGCAAAAGUCACAAAGUGAAUAGACUGGCCACAAAAGACGAUAAGAAUAGAGGCCAUGAACUAAGAUGAGGAUGAAUUUGCAUUUGUUAAUGUUGCCAUAUGGCCCCUAUUCAUAUGUAUUUUAUUAAUGAUAUUAUUGGGUGGAGUAAAUUGUGACUGGUGAUUCAAGCCAAGCCAAAUCUUGGCAUGCUGGACUUCAGUUUGGUUUACUGUUGAAUCAUUUGUGUAUAUUGCCUUACAAUGGAAGCCCAACAAGUAGCUAGAACAAAGACACCCCAUGUGGCCUGUGGAAUGUGGAUGCCGCAACGGUCCGCAAGAAGCAGAUAUCAGUUUCCUCUAUCUACAAAUAUAUUGAACAUUAUUGGGAACGAAAUGCAUGGAUAUAUAUAAGGUUAUUUAAAAACACAGAGGUAGGUCUUGACCUUGGUGUUUUAUGUGUUCCACAUCACUGUGGGAUCAAGGCUUUAUUUCUUAUCUUUUCAUUCUUUUUCAGUUAUUAAUAUUAUCACUACAUCUUAUUCAUAUGGUAUUCGCUAUGAUAUUAUCCACGCUUAAUGUAAUUUUAUGAUUAUGUAUGUGCUUUCAAGAAAAGGGUAACUAGGUGACUUGUUUUGUAGGUUGGAAAAAAUGUAUUCUAAAAUCACGUUCCUAAUGUUGUUUUGAAUUGUUUGAACUAAAGGUUUUUUGCUGGAGUUUCUGGUGUCAGUCUUUGAAUUUUACCUUGUAAGUUAUCAUGAGAAAGCCAAUUUCUUCUUUUUCCUGUCUGAUGUUGAAUUCCAUAAUCUAUUUUUCACUCUGAGUUAUCUCUUUCGCAUAAAGUGUGGAACUGGCAGACCUGUGUAGGACUUGGAGCUGUUAUGAGUUAUGAGGUCCCGAUUUGUAGAGACAGUAGUAUUAAUUUGUUUAGUUAUAAAACUAGUAGUGAUAUCUGAUGUCAACUGCCAUCUUUUUACACUUUGGCCUUUUACUGAUUGGAAGGGUUGUAUGAGUGAGUUGGUAAACUGUAAACCUCCUUGGAAAACUUUGUUUUCUCAUGCUUAAUAACUUGUUUUCAUGAAUCUGAGUCUGUUAUCAUGGUAGCCAAUCGCCUAUUCAACAUGCUAUGAAAGUUGACUGGAUACAGCACAGGUUGUUUCUUAUCAGUAAUCAAUGUUGCCUGUAUUCUGUCAGUAAUCUCUAGCUGAUUCCAAGUGAACAUUUGUAUCCAUAAACUUGAAAGCAGUAAUGUCACAUGCUACAUAAUUCCUCUCUUUAUUCUACAUGGCUUGGCAUUUCCAAUUUCAUUAUUAAUAUGAGAUACAUUAUCAGAUGCUAUUGUAAUAGGGAAUGCUAGUGAACUCUAUUAUAGGGGCCACAGGUCUAUAAUAUUCUGGAUCUUACGUUGGAGUAGCCGAACAUUGGGAGUCAGGAACUCUAGGUUCUUGCUAUAUGUGUAUUGUAUAGCUUUGCAAUGUCAAGUUCUGAUUGUGGAUAGAGUCGAUAGACAUUUCAAAUAUAGCACGCUGCUUCGCUCUCCCCUCCAACAAAGAAAAAACAUAUUUCUUCCGCGCUGAAAUAAAUGAAAUGCUUCUCUCUUUUAUGUGAGAGCUAUUUGAGGAAGUAUGACUUUACUGUUCCAGAGUAGAACCUGUAGCCAACAACAAUUAUUUGUGGCUUAAUCAUUUAUUAUUUACAUGCUUGUCCCUCCCCUUUGUUUAUGAAUACAAUACUUUCUGGCUUAUCAUAGUUAUUAUCAAAUACUUUCCCCUUCCCCUUUUUUCUCCAUCACCAUCAACGCCUUUGAAAUCUUACUUCUUUAUCUGGGGUAUUUUCUACUUCUCUUUUAGUGCAGGACUCUUGGUCGAAAUGAUGAAGCAUUAUAAACAAAACCUUAAGUAUUCUGCUUGGACAAACUAAGGACACAGAAACUGGUGAGAUUAUGUUGUAUCUUUAAUGUUAUCUGAAGAAGUUAUGCAACUUUUGUUCUGGAUAUAUGCAAAUCCCUCAUUAUGGAUCAUCUCUUGUGGUUUCUAUUUUCCUAAAAUGGGGAAUUAUUGAUAUCUAAGAAGCACAAAUAUAUGGUUAUCUUGAGGAUUUUCCGAAACAAUACAUCAUCUGCUGCGUUUUUUAUGGUCUGAAGUGCUGUGUUUUCUGGAACCAGCACUUGCGUACCACCAUUUCACAAAUUAGAAGUGCUAUGUUUUCAUGCGCAGCACUUGAUCCAACAUGUAAGCCUUGUAGUUCAAGUGUAUCAAGGUCCAAGGGUUCUAGGAAAACCUGUAGUUCAAGUGUAUAUAUCAGUAUAUCUAGUCAUAAAAAGUCUUUUGUGUAUCUUUUCAACUGGGGGGAACUGGAGAUCUUUUUCAUAAGAUCUACCUUCUGAUGGAUCCAAGGGAGAGCUGGUGAUACUGAUACAUCAUGCCUGUAGUCUGUACUCUGUAGACAACCCUGCAUUCCAGAAUAAAGGAACUAGAGUGGGAUCGUGUAUUUUAAUGGCUCAAAGAACUGAAUGGUGAUGCUAUGUUUAAUGUUUCAUUAAGCAAUCUUCAGGCCAAGUUUGAGGAAUUCGGUGAAAUGAUUGAGGUCACUACACCAAAGGCUAUGAAUGUUUAGGUAAAGUAGAUCUGAUGGUGUUUUUUUUCAGAAAGCUGCCUCAUGAGAGCUUUUGUCUCAAGGACCUAGUUGUUUGAUACUUGAGUUUCUAGUCUGAGCUUUAGAUUUUUUGGGCCUUUAUGCCAUUUGGUUAAGAAUGGAUUCAUAGAGUGUCCCAGCACUAUAAGUUAUAUUCGGCCUACUUUCUCCGAUGGUCUUGAUUGACAAAGUGGAAGGCUACUUUAGAAGUGCGGAACUAGUAGUGACACAGGGUUUCACAAGUAUGACUUGGCCAUUUCUGGAGACCAGCCAUUUCUUCUCAUAUCAUUUUUCCCCUGGUGAUCUUAUAGACUUUCCUUCAAUUCCUGAUGAGAUCUCAUUAUAUAUGUCAUAUGAACCUUAGUUAUAGCAAUUUUGGAGGAAAGUCAAACAGGAACUGCAUAUCUGUGAUAUCACCUAUAGUCCUAGUGGUCCGAUGGCUGGCCCCAAGAAUCUUCCUUCAGUUUCCUUUUAGAUUUGUUUUGGGUCCUGAAAAGGCCUCGUGGGGGUGAACUAUAUGACCUUAGAAACACGUUAGUGUCCUAAAGUGCUAACUGCUACGUUAAGUGUUAGGAAUCUGUGUUUAACAUUUAGGUAUUAAGUUUAUGUCUUUUAGACUCGAGCACUAGCAUCCAUAGGAAUGUGAAAUACAGAUUUGUUCCUGAAAUUCCAACUGCCUUAACCUUAUUACUUGAGACAUUCAACUUUCAUAAUUGAGCCAAGCCAUAUCUCAGCUUGCUUGAGUUCAGCUGUGUUUUUACGUAGUAAUACUUAUUAAUUGGUGUUCUUGAACUUACAAAUUCAAUUUAGUUUCUCUUCUCUAACUCAACCCUUCACAAACAGAAACAGCCAUGCCCCAGGUGGCCACUGGCAGAAGCAGAUACAGUUCUCAAUGGUGUACGAAGUUUAUUAGCCGAUUAUUAGGUAUGAAAUGCAUGCAUAGACAUAUAGUUCAUUUUAGAAAAGCAUAAAUACACAUGUUAUCCUUGCUAAACAGGUUCAUAACAGGGGGACCAUGUUUUGAUUGCUCAUGUUUUACUAUUACCAUGUUUUUAAGAGCAUUCACGUACAUGUAUAAGUGCUGUGGUGGAAACUUGUGCAAUGAACUUUCUGUAAAGCUUCUAUUGGAAUUUGUAGCUUAAUGAUUUCAUUUUAUGAUGCAGAAGUAACGUGCUGAACAAAGAAUGUCACUUCUAAGGGUAAUAUUGUUUUCCGUAGGUCGAAAUAUUCUUCUAUACUUUUUUUGCGUUGUCUAUGCCGAAAAUUUCUAUCUAAGAGCUGCUGCUUCCUGCUCUGGCCUCUGGGCGAUGACUAAAGCAUUCAACUUCCUGCACUUGAUAUUAUCACCUAGACUUCUGCAAUGAACUGGCACAGCUGUUUUAGAACUUGGGGUGCAGACUGCAGAGGUCCUAACAUAUUGAGAUGUGUCAGUAACAACUAACAAGCAUCUGAUGCCACGUUUAUCUGUGGCAAAAUUGUGCUGUGCUCCGUGUUACUGAUUUGAAUGAUGAAAAAAUUGGUAGGUCAACUGAGAAGCUUAUUCUUCAAUAAACUUGUUUUUUGAGUGUAGUGAGUAGUAACUUGUCGAAUUAGUAGAUACCACCUACGUGAAUGGGUCCAUAUGAACUAUGGGUGCCAAGAAGCGGUAAUCUAGAGUUUUUUAGCAAGCUUUUUUACCAAUAAACCUGAAAGAAGUUUAAUAGAAUUGUUUCUAAGAAGUUCAAUGUGAUACAUAUCAUUUCUUAACAUAUCCUCACUUGGUGAUAUUUUUUUUUUUAAGUUGGUAAGAUGAAGGGAUCCUACUGAACUGGCACCUCGCACAGGUACAAUCAGUCAGGUUUGCAGGUCAGACUCCUUUGAGAGAGGAGUAAUGGUAAGGGAAACCUUACCCCAAGGAGCCCCUAGUGGGUCCUCACUUGGUGAUAUGCACAGCUUGGCUUUUGCAAUUUUAUCAUUAGUAUCGUAUUAAUUGGUAAUGAGGUAGAUUAUAUUUGAUAAAAGACUACGCUAGUGCUAUUUACUUAAUGCAAUGAACUGUGGAUGAAGUUUGGUUGAUAUUAAUUUCACCAUUUUUAAAGCCUACAAUCAUCUAGCAUUACUGCACUUAUGCUUCUUGAGCUUAGAAAUAUUUUAGCAUUGUUUUGCAUGUAAUAGGAAUACUUCUAUAUCAUGUUUUUUUCUUUACUAGUAUUUUCUGUUUUUGUGUGUGUAUUGUGGGGGUUGUAAUUCCUAAUUUAUUGCAAUGAAUGAACUGCUAUCAAGAACAGGUAAGUCCUCUUUGCAUAACAUCGUCUAUACAUAAUAUAAGCAAACAGUUCUUCUCCUUCUUGGCUGUAUACAAGUUGGAUGCGUGUUUUAAAAUGCUUCUACAAAUUCUGUAUUCAGGUUUUCGAAGUCCGAAGUCGCAACUGCUUUUGCAGGCUCAUUGAUCAUUGAGAGACUUUGGAUUCAUCAGUCUGGAUAGCUCAUAGUAUAGCCUGUUCUCAUACAGCUCCAGACUUCCAGUUCAUUUUGCUCAUACUAACUACUAACUUCAUGGAAUUUCACCAUUUGAAUCAUGAAGUUGGUUUCAUUUUAAUUUUUCUCUCUUUGCACCAUUUGAUCGCUCAAUACUGUUGUCGUUCAUUUCUGGACUCAGGCAUCUCAAGACUCAAGACACUCGUAGAAGAGAGAAGUAGAAGUUUCAAUCCAAAUUAUUGUGCAACAACCUGGAUAUGUUAAAAUUUACGCAGGACUUGUUUUCCGUUGUUAUAUGUGAAUCUUCUUGUAUAAACUACGACUGGUAUAAACAACUUGUACUCAAGUUAACAAUGAAAUCUGUGUUUUAUAUUGGGUUUUCUUGCCUCCCACUGAA